GACGAACGCUGGCGGCGUGCUUAACACAUGCAAGUCGAGCGGUAAGGCCCUUUCGGGGGUACACGAGCGGCGAACGGGUGAGUAACACGUGGGUGACCUGCCCUCAGCUCUGGGAUAAGCCUGGGAAACUGGGUCUAAUACUGGAUAUGACUCCACGGUGCAUGUCGUGGGGUGGAAAGCCUUGUGCGGCUGAGGAUGGGCCCGCGGCCUAUCAGCUUGUUGGUGGGGUGANGGCCUACCAAGGCGACGACGGGUAGCCGGCCUGAGAGGGCGACCGGCCACACUGGGGCUGAGACACGGCCCAGACUCCUACGGGAGGCAGCAGUGGGGAAUCUUGCGCAAUGGGCGAAAGCCUGACGCAGCGACGCCGCGUGAGGGAUGACGGCCU
Molecule: ribosomal RNA, 388 nt
Filed under: uncultured bacterium
Lineage: Bacteria
Description: bacterial SSU rRNA
Rfam family: Bacterial small subunit ribosomal RNA
Source: RNAcentral